CAUCCUUCCCCAUUCUUCAUUCAAAAAUUAUUUUUAUCUAGCUGUAUACAGCAGAGAUAGCCAGUAUGCAUUUGCUAAAAAUGAUUAUUCUUGUGGCUGCUGCACAUGAAGCAGCUACCUUAAGUGUAACAAUGAAUUUUGAGAUACUCGACGUUAAUCAGACAGUAAACAGCAAUGCGGAGCAGUUUAAUAUAGACUCUCCGCAGAUUGUGGAACUGAUAUGUGAAAAUGCCGGUACAAAAUCCAUCCCUUCUUGGUCUAUCAAUAAUGUUACUUACUACUGGCAAGAUGUACCACCAGGCCAUACAUUCAAUGUGAAGAACAUGACGCUUGAAAUAAGUCGAUUGUGUGCAAAGCAUAGUGAAUAUCAAUGUUUUUUUUCAUACACUUUGCAAAGCAGGUCCGUAAUUCUACUACAAAAUGGUAGUGUGCCGUUAGCCUGCAAUGAUGAGACUACGCAAAAUAAAGCAGUUUCCAAUAACACAACGCCUUUCAUUAUAAUAUUUUUUGCAUUAAUUUUGCAUUCACUGUAUUUUUGAAGGUUUAAACCAGCAGAAAAAAAUUAUGAUUAUAAUUAUAGAUCCACAACUAGCCCUGCACUAUCAUUAUUCUUAAAUAAUAGGCAGCAAU
Molecule: long non-coding RNA, 630 nt
Organism: Halichondria panicea
Lineage: Eukaryota; Metazoa; Porifera; Demospongiae; Suberitida; Halichondriidae
Exons: 3
Source: RefSeq, a predicted model, not a curated record